CUGGCCGAGCAGGCUGAACGUUAUGAGGAAAUGGUUGAGUUCAUGGAAAAAGUUGCAAAAACAGUUGAUGUUGAGGAGCUAACCGUGGAGGAAAGGAACCUUCUCUCAGUUGCUUACAAGAAUGUGAUUGGGGCCAGGAGGGCUUCAUGGAGGAUCAUCUCUUCGAUUGAGCAGAAGGAGGAGAGCAGGGGAAACGAAGACCAUGUCUCAGUAAUUAAGGAGUACAGGAGCAAGAUUGAGAAUGAGCUCAGCAAGAUCUGUGAUGGGAUUCUUAGCCUCCUUGAGUCUCAUCUCAUUCCCU
This 301-nucleotide long non-coding RNA is filed under the name Citrus maxima (pomelo). RNAcentral describes it as "long non-coding RNA (CMAX_LNC002899)". Lineage: Eukaryota; Viridiplantae; Streptophyta; Magnoliopsida; Sapindales; Rutaceae. The record is from RNAcentral.